Leersia perrieri is the source of this 73-nucleotide transfer RNA. It matches the Rfam family "tRNA". Rfam says of the family: Transfer RNA (tRNA) molecules are approximately 80 nucleotides in length. Their secondary structure includes four short double-helical elements and three loops (D, anti-codon, and T loops). The record is from Rfam. Lineage: Eukaryota; Viridiplantae; Streptophyta; Magnoliopsida; Poales; Poaceae.
GGGUGUAUAGCUCAGUUGGUAGAGCAUCGGACUUUUAACCUACUGGUCGCAGGUUCAAGUCCGGCUAUAACCA